AACUGCCUGUGUAUAAUGGUUUCUAGCUUCCCUGAACAGCUGCAUAUCACGGGGGCUGUCUAUAGGUAACUGUAGUUGGGUCUGUGGUUGUAAAUGGUAGAAUGUGUGUAUAUAGGUAACUGUAGUUGGGUCUGUGGUUGGAAAUGGUAGAAUGUGUGUCUAUAGGUAACUGUAGUUGGGUCUGUGGUUGUAAAUGGUAGAAUGUGUGUCUAUAGGUAACUGUAGUUGGGUCUGUGGUUGGAAAUGGUAGAAUGUGUGUCUAUAGGUAACUGUAGUUGGGUCUGUGGUUGGAAAUGGUAGAAUGUGUCUCUAUAGGUAACUGUAUUUGGGUAGUUGGGUCUGUUUGUAAAUGGUAGAAUGUGUGUCUAUAGGUAACUGUAGUUGGGUCUGUGGUUGUAAAUGGUAGAAUGUGUGUCUAUAGGUAACUGUAUUUGGGUCUGUGGGUAUAAAUGGUAGAAUGUGUGUGUAGGUAACUGUAGUUGGGUCUGUGGUUGUAAAUGGUAGAAUGUGUGUCUAUGUAACUGUGGUUGUAAAUGGUAGAAUGUGUGUCUAUAGGUAACUGUAGUUGGGUCUGUGGUUGUAAAUGGUAGAAUGUGUGUCUAUAGGUAACUGUAGUUGGGUCUGUGGUUGUAAAUGGUAGAAUGUGUGUCUAGGUAACUGUAGUUGGGUCUGUGGUUGUAAAUGGUAGAAUGUGUGUCUAUAUGUAACUGUGGUUGUAAAUGGUAGAAUGUGUGUCUAUAGGUAACUGUAGUUGGGUCUGGGGUUGUAAAUGGUAGAAUGUGUGUCUAUGUAACUGUGGUUGUAAAUGGUAGAAUGUGUGUCUAUAGGUAACUGUAGUUGGGUCUGGGGUUGUAAAUGGUAGAAUGUGUGUCUAUAGGUAACUGUAUUUGGGUAGUUGGGUCUGUGGUUGUAAAUGGUAGAAUGUGGUUGUAUCCUGACUCUCCACCCUUCUCACAAAGUGUUCACUUUCACACUUCUUGUCGUGGAUGUGACAUUGUUGGAAAAGCCCUCUAUUCACUAUUUACACCAAUCCAACUCUUUUAAAUCCAUGAUGGGAGUGUGCAAAUUUGUUCCAUAGCCAUAGAAUGUGACUUUGAGGAUGGUGAUUGAUCAGGAUGUGAUCAUAGUGAACGUAUGCUGUGACUCCGGUAGGAUGGUGAUGGAUCAGGAUGUGAUCAUAGUGAACGUAUGCUGUGACUCCGGUAGGAUGGUGAUUGAUUAGGAUGUGAUCAUAGUGAACGUAUGCUGUGACUCCGGUAGGAUGGUGAUUGAUCAGGAUGUGAUCAUAGUGAACGUAUGCUGUGACUCCGGUAGGAUGGUGAUUGAUUAGGAUGUGAUCAUAGUGAACGUAUGCUGUGACUCCGGUAGGAUGGUGAUUGAUUAGGAUGUGAUCAUAGUGAACGUAUGCUGUGACUCCGGUAGGAUGGUGAU
Molecule: long non-coding RNA, 1431 nt
Organism: Oncorhynchus tshawytscha (Chinook salmon)
Lineage: Eukaryota; Metazoa; Chordata; Actinopteri; Salmoniformes; Salmonidae
Exons: 3
Source: RefSeq, a predicted model, not a curated record